RNAcentral lists this ribosomal RNA (253 nucleotides) under uncultured bacterium. Its description in RNAcentral is "partial 16S ribosomal RNA". It matches the Rfam family "Bacterial small subunit ribosomal RNA", at positions 524 to 776 of the family's 1533-position model. The record is from RNAcentral.
UACGAAGGGGGCUAGCGUUGUUCGGAAUUACUGGGCGUAAAGCGCACGUAGGCGGACUUUUAAGUCAGGGGUGAAAUCCCGGGGCUCAACCUCGGAACUGCCUUUGAUACUGGAAGUCUUGAGUAUGGAAGAGGUAAGUGGAAUUGCGAGUGUAGAGGUGAAAUUCGUAGAUAUUCGCAAGAACACCAGUGGCGAAGGCGGCUCACUGGCCCGAUACUGACGCUGAGGUGCGAAAGCGUGGGGAGCAAACAGG